CGGUGAUGAAACAUAAAUCAAAACUCUCAAUCUUUAAUCACUCUAAACUUGUAUUGGUGAAUGCUGUCAAGUCAAACAAAUAAUAAGACAAAUAUACCACAUAGAUUGUGCCUUUUUUUAAAAAAAAAUAGAUUCAAUGUUAAUCAUAAAAAUAGGCAGAUAAACUGCAAUAUAUGAUAAAAGUAAGUUUCUAAGCUCGCACAAAAUGGAAACUGCGACCAAAAUAUAUAUCCUCUU
Molecule: long non-coding RNA, 237 nt
Filed under: Elaeis guineensis (African oil palm)
Lineage: Eukaryota; Viridiplantae; Streptophyta; Magnoliopsida; Arecales; Arecaceae
Description: long non-coding RNA (EGUI_LNC013401)
Source: RNAcentral